RNAcentral lists this ribosomal RNA (807 nucleotides) under Shigella sonnei. RNAcentral's name for it is "partial 23S ribosomal RNA". It matches the Rfam family "Bacterial large subunit ribosomal RNA", at positions 2136 to 2925 of the family's 2925-position model. Lineage: Bacteria; Pseudomonadati; Pseudomonadota; Gammaproteobacteria; Enterobacterales; Enterobacteriaceae. The record is from RNAcentral.
GUGUAGGAUAGGUGGGAGGCUUUGAAGUGUGGACGCCAGUCUGCAUGGAGCCGGCCUUGAAAUACCACCCUUUAAUGUUUGAUGUUCUAACGUGGACCCGUGAUCCGGGUUGCGGACAGUGUCUGGUGGGUAGUUUGACUGGGGCGGUCUCCUCCUAAAGAGUAACGGAGGAGCACGAAGGUUGGCUAAUCCUGGUCGGACAUCAGGAGGUUAGUGCAAUGGCAUAAGCCAGCUUGACUGCGAGCGUGACGGCGCGAGCAGGUGCGAAAGCAGGUCAUAGUGAUCCGGUGGUUCUGAAUGGAAGGGCCAUCGCUCAACGGAUAAAAGGUACUCCGGGGAUAACAGGCUGAUACCGCCCAAGAGUUCAUAUCGACGGCGGUGUUUGGCACCUCGAUGUCGGCUCAUCACAUCCUGGGGCUGAAGUAGGUCCCAAGGGUAUGGCUGUUCGCCAUUUAAAGUGGUACGCGAGCUGGGUUUAGAACGUCGUGAGACAGUUCGGUCCCUAUCUGCCGUGGGCGCUGGAGAACUGAGGGGGGCUGCUCCUAGUACGAGAGGACCGGAGUGGACGCAUCACUGGUGUUCGGGUUGUCAUGCCAAUGGCACUGCCCGGUAGCUAAAUGCGGAAGAGAUAAGUGCUGAAAGCAUCUAAGCACGAAACUUGCCCCGAGAUGAGUUCUCCCUGACCCUUUAAGGGUCCUGAAGGAACGUUGAAGACGACGACGUUGAUAGGCCGGGUGUGUAAGCGCAGCGAUGCGUUGAGCUAACCGGUACUAAUGAACCGUGAGGCUUAACCUUACAACGCCGAAG